GGUGGCUUAGUGGUAGAGUGCUUGCCUUGCAUGCAUGAGGACCUGGGUUCGAUUCCUCAGUACCA
Molecule: transfer RNA, 65 nt
Filed under: Dipodomys ordii (Ord's kangaroo rat)
Lineage: Eukaryota; Metazoa; Chordata; Mammalia; Rodentia; Heteromyidae
Rfam family: tRNA
About the family: Transfer RNA (tRNA) molecules are approximately 80 nucleotides in length. Their secondary structure includes four short double-helical elements and three loops (D, anti-codon, and T loops).
Source: Rfam by way of RNAcentral